This is a non-coding RNA of Cinara cedri, 282 nucleotides long. The record is from the annotation of a GenBank genome assembly. NCBI's taxonomy places the organism in Eukaryota, Metazoa, Arthropoda, Insecta, Hemiptera, Aphididae.
UAUGUUCACUAUUUUAAAAUAUUUUGGUGUGUGUAAUUAGAUGUGCAGUAGCAAAAUACCCCAACUUUAGGCCCUGCUUUAUGGUUGAAUUUUUUUCUUCAAAAAAAACUUUUUCGGUAGUAAAAAUACUUCGGUUACAUCAUGCAUGUAUCUUAAAAAGAUGCAGAUUUUUCUCGCAGCGGUACGCUUUACGGGGAAAAAAAAUUUCUAGAUUUUCGAUAGUUUUUCUAAAAACUGACAAUUACUAACGUCGAUACAUCGGUUUUAUUAUCAUUGAUUUCU